UGGGGAAUAUUGCGCAAUGGGGGCAACCCUGACGCAGCCAUGCCGCGUGUGUGAAGAAGGCCUUCGGGUUGUAAAGCACUUUCAAUAGAGAGAAAAAGCUGUCGGUUAAUACCCGGCAGUGUUGAUGUUACCUAUAGAAGAAGCACCGGCUAACUCCGUGCCAGCAGCCGCGGUAAUACGGAGGGUGCGAGCGUUAAUCGGAAUUACUGGGCGUAAAGCGCGCGUAGGCGGUUUGUUAAGUCGGAUGUGAAAUCCCCGGGCUCAACCUGGGAACUGCAUUCGAUACUGGCAGGCUAGAGUACGGGAGAGGGAGGUAGAAUUCCACGUGUAGCGGUGAAAUGCGUAGAUAUGUGGAGGAAUACCGGUGGCGAAGGCGGCCUCCUGGCCUGAUACUGACGCUGAGGUGCGAAAGCGUGGGGAGCAAACAGGAUUAGAUACCCCCGUAGUCC
Molecule: ribosomal RNA, 449 nt
Filed under: uncultured prokaryote
Description: bacterial SSU rRNA
Rfam family: Bacterial small subunit ribosomal RNA
Source: RNAcentral